UUGCUGUAGCUUAAAACAAAGCAUAGCAUUGAAAAUGCUAAAAUGGUCCCUACCCGCCAAC
This 61-nucleotide transfer RNA is filed under the name Vipera walser. RNAcentral describes it as "tRNA-Phe". The record is from RNAcentral. Lineage: Eukaryota; Metazoa; Chordata; Lepidosauria; Squamata; Viperidae.